AGUGGCGGACGGGUGAGUAAUGUCUGGGAAACUGCCUGAUGGAGGGGGAUAACUACUGGAAACGGUAGCUAAUACCGCAUAACGUCGCAAGACCAAAGAGGGGGACCUUCGGGCCUCUUGCCAUCGGAUGUGCCCAGAUGGGAUUAGCUAGUAGGUGGGGUAACGGCUCACCUAGGCGACGAUCCCUAGCUGGUCUGAGAGGAUGACCAGCCACACUGGAACUGAGACACGGUCCAGACUCCUACGGGAGGCAGCAGUGGGGAAUAUUGCACAAUGGGCGCAAGCCUGAUGCAGCCAUGCCGCGUGUAUGAAGAAGGCCUUCGGGUUGUAAAGUACUUUCAGCGGGGAGGAAGGCGAUAAGGUUAAUAACCUUGUCGAUUGACGUUACCCGCAGAAGAAGCACCGGCUAACUCCGUGCCAGCAGCCGCGGUAAUACGGAGGGUGCAAGCGUUAAUCGGAAUUACUGGGCGUAAAGCGCACGCAGGCGGUCUGUCAAGUCGGAUGUGAAAUCCCCGGGCUCAACCUGGGAACUGCAUUCGAAACUGG
Molecule: ribosomal RNA, 546 nt
Filed under: Enterobacter sp.
Lineage: Bacteria; Pseudomonadati; Pseudomonadota; Gammaproteobacteria; Enterobacterales; Enterobacteriaceae
Description: bacterial SSU rRNA
Rfam family: Bacterial small subunit ribosomal RNA
Source: RNAcentral